This 429-nucleotide ribosomal RNA is filed under the name bacterium. Its description in RNAcentral is "partial 16S ribosomal RNA". It matches the Rfam family "Bacterial small subunit ribosomal RNA", at positions 355 to 776 of the family's 1533-position model. The record is from RNAcentral.
UAGGGAAUCUUCGGCAAUGGGGGCAACCCUGACCGAGCAACGCCGCGUGAGUGAAGAAGGUUUUCGGAUCGUAAAGCUCUGUUGUAAGAGAAGAACGUGUGUGAGAGUGGAAAGUUCACACAGUGACGGUAACUUACCAGAAAGGGACGGCUAACUACGUGCCAGCAGCCGCGGUAAUAUGUAGGUCCCGAGCGUUGUCCGGAUUUAUUGGGCGUAAAGCGAGCGCAGGCGGUUUAAUAAGUCUGAAGUUAAAGGCAGUGGCUUAACCAUUGUUCGCUUUGGAAACUGUUAAACUUGAGUGCAGAAGGGGAGAGUGGAAUUCCAUGUGUAGCGGUGAAAUGCGUAGAUAUAUGGAGGAACACCGGUGGCGAAAGCGGCUCUCUGGUCUGUAACUGACGCUGAGGCUCGAAAGCGUGGGGAGCAAACAGG